This is a long non-coding RNA of Drosophila montana, 582 nucleotides long. RefSeq lists it as uncharacterized. The record is from RefSeq and is a predicted model, not a curated record. Lineage: Eukaryota; Metazoa; Arthropoda; Insecta; Diptera; Drosophilidae. The transcript has 2 exons.
CCCAUUGAAAAUAAGUAGGAGGGGGUAUAAUGUUAAAAGCAUCUGCCACGGUCUCAGAAGCAGUCUGUUAUUUUAAAGUUCAGUGUUAACAACUGCAGGAACUAAAUCCUUCUGAACACAUAUUGACAAUAAGCAGGGUUGUUAGUUGUUGUUAUCGAAACGCAAAACAAAUCUAAAUUUUACUUUCUUCGGCUGACGACCUCUGAAAAAGUCGACUGUAGCAAGAAAAUAGCUGAAAUGGCAAAGACUGCCUAUAAACUAAAAAGAAAUAUACCCAGUUGUCGUAUUGUGGAGCUAAGGCACAGUGUAUUGGUUAUGUCGGUCGCGAUCACAUUCAAUUAUUUGCUUACCUUUGCAAGCCGAUAUCAGAAAAUAGCCGCUGUCGCAGAUAUCACUGAAAUCCAAAUGCACCACGGGCCUGGUAUGUCCACUGCAGGUCAAUGGAAUCUGUCGCAAGUUAUUGGCCGCCAUUCUAAAAUCUAAAAUCACCUGCGUUUUGCUCCUCCUUUCUUUACUAAAAAAAAACCAAUACUUUCUCGCUUUGUAUACACUUGUAGCGUAUUAUGCGCCGUUUUGUCUAAU